GCAGUGAGGACUGUCUGGCGGCUGGCUUUUCUUCCCUUCCCUUGGGUCUUGGGCCAUCUCUUUUGAAUAUGCAAUCUUCCAUGUUUGAUCAGGAUUUUCAUCUGACCCUUACAGAUUAUGAAAUCUAGAGCAGGAAACUCUAGAAUUAAUUUUUUGCAGCCCUACACAGAGAGAGAUUGCCCCAGAGAAUCUCAGGCAUCUCUUGGGACAGAGAAGAAACCCUUAAAGCAUCUUUUUGGCAACUGAGAAAAUCUCAGUCCUGUGGCCCCAGGACAUCUUCAGUGGGCUUAAGGUGAGCUGGAGGUAAACCUGAGACUCACUUUUCAACCUGGGACACUAUAUAUAUAUAAAACCUGCUUGGCUGGUGACAGACCGUGUUUCGUGAUUUCCAGAGCCUUUACAGACCUCAGAGAGCUCAGCAAUCAGGUAUUAAAAACUAGUUGCAGUUGUAAAACUGCACUCACGGGGUUGGGGAUUUGGCUCAGUGGUAGAGCGCUUGCCUAGCAAGCACAAGGCCCUGGGUUCGGUCCCCAGCUCCGGAAAAAAAAAAAAAAAAGACUGCACUCACUAGAAAGUUCCUAGGUUUAGCCUGUUCCUUCUUCUGCUUGGCUGCGGACUGGACUCCUGAGUAUGUACAGCUGGUUCUCAAUUUACCAUGGUUUCACCAACAGUCGUGGGCUUACAGGAAUACUAAAUGCCUUUUUUGGACUCAGGUCACUUCAAGGCCAGCCUUGGCUGCAUAGUAAGUUUGAGGUCAGCCUAGACUACAUGAGACCCUGUCUUAAAAAAAAGACAAACAGGACUGAAAAGAUGGCUCUGUGGUUAAGAGCACAGACUGCUCUUCCAGAGGUCAUGGGUUCAAUUCCCAGCAACCACAUGAUGACUCACAACUAUCUGUGAUGGGAUCCGAUGCCCUCUUCUGGUGUGUCUGAAAACAGAUACGGUGUACUCAUAUUCAUAAAUAAAUAAAUAAAUCUUUAAAAAACAAAGUCUGGCAGUGAUGGCAUGUGCCUUUAAUCCCAGCACUUGGAAGUCAAAGGCAAGUGGAUU
This is a long non-coding RNA of Rattus norvegicus (Norway rat), 1050 nucleotides long. The record is from Ensembl. NCBI's taxonomy places the organism in Eukaryota, Metazoa, Chordata, Mammalia, Rodentia, Muridae.